Molecule: long non-coding RNA, 2321 nt
Organism: Corticium candelabrum
Lineage: Eukaryota; Metazoa; Porifera; Homoscleromorpha; Homosclerophorida; Plakinidae
Exons: 4
Source: RefSeq, a predicted model, not a curated record
UAUCCUUCUUUAAUGCCAAGUCCCGUAUAACAGGACCUGGCGAAGUCCCUACAUCACGGGUGAUGAACACUCUCAGUAGAGCCUUCCUUCACCAGUUGCUGUCGUUGGUAGUGAAAGGAAGUCUAGAGGCGUCGAUUUGACAAUGUAGGGCGUGUGUCAGACUGCUUGACUUCGUGGAAAGACGGCGAAAGUUGGGGUGAGUUGUCGCUGUGGCUACCGUAUCGCCUUCCUUUGUCAAUUUUGUCCACGGAAAGGCCCCGGCCAGCAACCCAAUGUUGAUCACCCUACGGUAGCAUAUACCUUUGUCGACUGUUUGAAGGAGUUCGAGCUCGACUCUUCUCUUCUAGUGCACAGAAUAGGAUGAGGAACAUGGCGCUUAGCGACCGGAAGUUUGUGGUUUUCAAGUCGUCGUUAUUGCCCGGUGAUUCAUCGUUUUCAAGGUAUCCUCCUGUCCAUCUCCAUUGCUUGUCGAGGAGUUGGUCUCACAGUACUCUUGAUUUGUUUGAGGCAUUUAAUGACUUGAAAGUGGUGUGGCUCGUUGUGCGUGUAGCGGCGGUUUUUUCUCCUUAUUUUUGAGAAUGAGCAGGGAAAUGAUGCCAUCUAUUACAGGAAAAAAAUGAUGCCAUCUAUUACAGCUUUACAGCAGCACAUAUGUAGAGCCCAGUAUGUAGUUCGUUUAGCAUAUGAGAGUCCCUCGCAUACAUCCAGUUUUGCUGACUGUCAUGACUGUGGAUGGCUUUUUAGUGAAAAUGAUGUAAUAUGUGUUGUCUGGGAUACUGCUCAUGGAGCCAAGACUGCUAGCAUGGUUGAGAUGAACUACCACUGUAGCUGUUGCACUGGUUGUGUUGGAAGUAGGGGAGGCUGCAAGAGCUGUUUUCAAAACUGCCAACCUUGCACCGUCCGUUGUAGAUGCAGAGGCAACUGUCAGAAUCCCCACAACAGAAAUGGUGUGUGUACUUGCUGUAGGGCUAGAGUACAUGAUAGAAUUAGUGUACUGGUGUGGGCUAAUGAGACACUUAUUACACGUCCAAGUUAUUCAAACCAGGACCCACAGUUGCUGGAUGUUGUUGAUGCUGAUGACAAGUUGAGUAGUGAGACUGGCACAGACUGUGAGGAUGAGGAGGUGAAAAUUGAGGGAGAUUUCACUGGGCAGCCAAAUAGAUUACCCAAGGUGUUCCCAUCCUACAGUCAUUUAGCACACAGUGUGAGUGACCUUUAUCAUGAAGGAAGCUCCACUGAAGAAGACUAGAUGUUGAUGGUGAGAAACUGUCAUCCUGUCUGUGUACAAAAAUUUACAUUACUUGGGGGGUCAGUCAAGGUUAGGUAACUUGUAGGUACGUAAUGUAAGAUAUUGUGUGUAAUCAACUAAAAUUAAUCAAACAUAAUUAUGCCUCGGUGCUCAUGUGCAGUGGAGGUGCACAGUAGUCUGCUGGAGGGGGUGCACGAUGGAUUUAACAACAAAAUGACUCACACGUGUAAGAAGUGAUGUUUUCUUGAAUUUUGAUUCAUGAAUUCAAAAGAUAAAGCUUUAUUUUUUAGUUAUGGGUGAUUUCUCAUUGCACAUGUGCAGUAAACGUAUACUGUAAUCUGCCCCAUGUGUUUGCCCUACUGAACUUUGAAUGCCCAGUUGAUUUCGCACCGAGGCAUCAGCACCCCUGGUGCUAUUACUAUUAGCACCUGGUGCUAUUACUAUUAGCACCUGGUGCUAUUACUAUUAGCACAGGUAAUAGGUCUUGUGGACUGUUCAAAGACUAGACAGAUUUGGGCGGGUCAAUGAAGUCCCGGAUGUUGCAUGGCAACACAUCAGGUUGUGUGUGUUGACCUGACCGUCUCUUGUGUUUAUAUACUGUUUGACGUUGACACUGCUGGCAGCAGAUCCUUCCUGAAUUGACUCAUGGUCACAGCACACAAUUGAAGCUGCACAAAGGGCAAUCACUGUGAAGAUUCCUAGGUCGACAGCAGAAUCAGUAGGACAUGCUUUACUCUGCGUAGAUCACUACGGGAGACUACCUGCUGGGGUGUGGUGCCUCCAAAGAAUAGAAACUUGUCCAUAACUUUCUUACGCAGGGCUGUGGAAGAAAAUAGAAAAUACUGGACUGUCGGCAAGGCACUGCCACUGUUAACAUACAAUUGUCGCUGUCUUCUACAAUUGAGAAUAUACAGACCUGUUGUCUUGUCUGCUGAAUACAAGAUUAUGUAGUGGUUCUCCCUAGCUCCUAAGGUUAUUCUUGCAGCUGUUUGUGGCCUCUUAUGGGUCUGCACAUUACUCCUUAUGGCUCUAAGGUACAAUUUGCUUCUUAGUGAGACUUUAAUUAAACAAA